CGAAGCCUGAGAAUUUUAACUUAA
RNAcentral lists this non-coding RNA (24 nucleotides) under Cricetulus griseus (Chinese hamster). The record is from RNAcentral. Lineage: Eukaryota; Metazoa; Chordata; Mammalia; Rodentia; Cricetidae.